This 1355-nucleotide ribosomal RNA is filed under the name metagenome. RNAcentral's name for it is "bacterial LSU rRNA". It matches the Rfam family "Bacterial large subunit ribosomal RNA", at positions 896 to 2239 of the family's 2925-position model. The record is from RNAcentral.
UCGGGGGUAUAGCACUGAAUUGGCUAGGGGGCUUACCAGCUUACCAAACCAUAUCAAACUCAGAAUACCGAUGAGUAUAACUAGGCAGUGAGACUGCGGAUGCUAAGGUCCGUAGUCGAAAGGGAAAGAGCCCAGACCGUCAGCUAAGGUCCCUAAAUCAUAUCUAAGUGGGAAAGGUUGUGAGAUUACUUUGACAUCCAGGAGGUUGGCUUAGAAGCAGCCAUCCUUUAAAGAAAGCGUAAUAGCUCACUGGACUAGUGAUUUUGCGCCGAAAAUGUAACGGGGCUAAAGAUAUGUACCGAAGCUACGGACUAAUUUAUUAGUGGUAGAAGAGCAUUGUGUUUACCGACGAAGGCGUACUGAUAAGGAGCGCUGGAGGUCCCACAAGAGCUGAUGGCGACAUGAGUAGCGAUAAGGAGUGUGAGAAUCACUCCCGCCGAAAAUCUAAGGGUUCCUGGGCCAGGUGACUCCGCCCAGGGUAAGUCGGAUCCUAAGGUGAGGCCGAAAGGCGUAAUCGAUGGGUAACAGGUUAAUAUUCCUGUACUUAGUAUUGUUCGUUUGACUUAAGGAAUGACGGAGAAAGGUAGCGGAUCCACCUGUUGGAUGGUGGUUUAAGCAUGUAGGGGGGCGUUUUAGGAAAAUCCGGAACGCUGUUAACUCUGAGAUGUGAUGACGAGGGCGUAGCCCGAAGUUCGUGAUCCUCUGCUUCCAAGAAAAGUUUCGUAAGGAGAACAGUAUUAAUCCGUACCGUAAACCGACACAGGUAGAUGAGGAGAGAAUCCUCAGGCGUUUGGGGUAACUCUAGUUAAGGAACUCUGCAAAUUGGUGCCGUAACUUUGGGAGAAGGCACGCCCUUGAUGGUGACAUCACUUGCUGAUGAAGCUGUUGAGGGCCGCAGUGAAAAGGGGGUAGCGACUGUUUAUCAAAAACAUAGGUCUCUGCAAACUCGUAAGAGGAAGUAUAGGGACUGACGCCUGCCCGGUGCUGGAAGGUUAAGAGGAGAGGUUAGGGUAACCGAAGCUUUGAAUCGAAGCCCCAGUAAACGGCGGCCGUAACAAUAACGGUCCUAAGGUAGCGAAAUUCCUAGUCGGGUAAGUUCCGACCUGCACGAAUGGCGUAACGACUUCCCCACUGUCUCAACUAGAGUCCCAGCGAAAUUGGAGUGCGCGUGCAGAUACGCGCUACCCGCGGAAGGACGAAAAGACCCCGUGAACCUUUACUGUAGCUUGGCAUUGGGUUUUGAGUAACAAUGCGUAGGAUAGGUGGGAGCUUUUGAUGCGUGCGUUCUGGCGUACGUGGAGGCAUCCUUGAAAUACCACCCUUUGUUACUUGGAAUCCUAACCUACGAUCGUAAU